Molecule: ribosomal RNA, 472 nt
Filed under: Klebsiella pneumoniae
Lineage: Bacteria; Pseudomonadati; Pseudomonadota; Gammaproteobacteria; Enterobacterales; Enterobacteriaceae
Description: bacterial SSU rRNA
Rfam family: Bacterial small subunit ribosomal RNA
Source: RNAcentral
AAAUUGAAGAGUUUGAUCAUGGCUCAGAUUGAACGCUGGCGGCAGGCCUAACACAUGCAAGUCGAGCGGUAGCACAGAGAGCUUGCUCUCGGGUGACGAGCGGCGGACGGGUGAGUAAUGUCUGGGAAACUGCCUGAUGGAGGGGGAUAACUACUGGAAACGGUAGCUAAUACCGCAUAACGUCGCAAGACCAAAGUGGGGGACCUUCGGGCCUCAUGCCAUCAGAUGUGCCCAGAUGGGAUUAGCUAGUAGGUGGGGUAACGGCUCACCUAGGCGACGAUCCCUAGCUGGUCUGAGAGGAUGACCAGCCACACUGGAACUGAGACACGGUCCAGACUCCUACGGGAGGCAGCAGUGGGGAAUAUUGCACAAUGGGCGCAAGCCUGAUGCAGCCAUGCCGCGUGUGUGAAGAAGGCCUUCGGGUUGUAAAGCACUUUCAGCGGGGAGGAAGGCGGUGAGGUUAAUAACCUUG